GACGAACGCUAGCGGCGUGCUUAACACAUGCAAGUCGAACGAUGAAGGAGAGCUUGCUCUCCGGAUUAGUGGCGAACGGGUGAGUAACACGUGACUAACCUGCCCCUUUCUCUGGGAUAACGCUCCGAAAGGAGUGCUAAUACCGGAUACGAACUCUGAACACAUGUUCGGAGUUGGAAAGGUUUUCGGAAAGGGAUGGAGUCGCGGCCUAUCAGCUUGUUGGUGAGGUAAUGGCUCACCAAGGCGACGACGGGUAGCCGGCCUGAGAGGGCGACCGGCCACACUGGGACUGAGACACGGCCCAGACUCCUACGGGAGGCAGCAGUGGGGAAUAUUGCACAAUGGGCGAAAGCCUGAUGCAGCGACGCCGCGUGAGGGAUGAAGGUCUUCGGAUUGCAAACCUCUUUCAGUAGGGACGAAGCGAAAGUGACGGUACCUAAAGAAGAAGCACCGGCUAACUACGUGCCAGCAGCCGCGGUAA
This 481-nucleotide ribosomal RNA is filed under the name uncultured bacterium. Its description in RNAcentral is "partial 16S ribosomal RNA". It matches the Rfam family "Bacterial small subunit ribosomal RNA", at positions 28 to 523 of the family's 1533-position model. The record is from RNAcentral.